GACGAACCGAGCGAACGUUGUUCGGAAUCACUAGGCUUAAAGGGCGCGUAGGCGGGUGCUCAAGUCCGGGGUGAAAUCCUCCAGCUCAACUGGAGAACUGCCUCGGAUACUGGGUGCCUCGAGGGUGGUAGGGGUAUGCGGAACUAUCGGUGGAGCGGUGAAAUGCGUUGAUAUCGAUAGGAACUCCGGUGGCGAAGGCGGCAUACUGGACCACUUCUGACGCUGAGGCGCGAAAGCCAGGGGAGCAAACGGG
RNAcentral lists this ribosomal RNA (253 nucleotides) under uncultured bacterium. RNAcentral's name for it is "partial 16S ribosomal RNA". It matches the Rfam family "Bacterial small subunit ribosomal RNA", at positions 524 to 776 of the family's 1533-position model. The record is from RNAcentral.